GGAAUCUUCAUUCUUCAGCUGGCAAAUUCAAUGAUAGCACCGACGGGAACUGCAAUUUCACAACUGUAAGACACUUCAAUCAUGCUACGGUCUAGGAAGAAAAUGGUACCACCGUGGUACAAAUUGACAAUGCCACCAAUCAUAAAAACUACUGGGGAAAAGCGAGAGAGCAAAGGACGAACAAGUCACAGUUAAAUUUUAGAAACACAAUGCAAAGUCAACGCCCGAUUACCAACACCACCAUCUGGGGGAAGAUUUUUAAAAGUCAACAUUUUAACCGGCCUGAUUGACGGCUUCACAUAUUGUAUUAACCGCAUUGGUCUUACAAACUUCAAAAAAAUUUCUAAUUGAAAAGUUAUAUCCAUGCAACUGAAUAAAACAUAUGUGUCAAUACAAUAUAAGCUUCAGAAAUAUGUUGAGAUGAAGAAUUGGACUAGAUUCGUUGACCAAAUAAGUCUCGCUCAAAGGCUAUCGGUAAGAAGGUCCACAAUUAAUUUUAAAUUUUUGUUUCAUUAGCUCAAACGAAGCAUAUUAAUUGGUUGUUUAUUCUUGGAGCUGAAGUUUAAACUAUAGUAUAGAUAUUUUAUAACAAGCUUUACAGCAUUAGUAAGCACAAUAGUAAACAUAUAGAACUAAUCCAAACUCAAAUAGUCUGAAAACAAUAUAAAUAUAUAGUCUCUCUGUUUCAUAUUAAAUGUCACUUUAUAUUUAUGCAAAAUUAGAUGUUUCUAAUUUUGUAUAUUUUCUAUAUAAAACAUCAUUACUCAUCAUCUAACCAUAUUUCAACCAAUAGAAAAAUAAACUGGAAAAUAAAAUUAAUAAAAUCUGCAUUGAAAUGGUAAAACGACAAUUAUUUUGCAACAAAAAAAAUUUCUGCAACGACACUUAAUAUGAAACGGAUGGAAUAUUAUUUAAUGUAUUUCGUAAGAGAGUAAUAACUAAGAAGUGCUAUUUAGAUUUACUUAGAACACUUGGGCCUCACUUGACGAGAAUUCCCACCUAAGAGCACCAUUAACGCAGUAGCUUAGGGGGGUGCUUAGUGAUUUUUGGAUUAAAAAAAAAAGAAAAUAAUGUAUUAAGGGAAGCCACGGCGCUUAAUUAAGCUGCACAAGCAACGUAGUUUAUGAGACACGUGCCUUUCAUGGAGGGAGUUUUGCUUUCUUCUCUCCACAUCUCUCUCGAGACGGACAACACCAUUCAAACAAGGUGGCUUUGCAGCUUGUUGCCGUCGCAUGUCCAGGUUCGUUGAACUUAUUCAAUUCCAUAAACCUCGAUUCCUUCUCCUUCUACUACCCAACCAAACCCUCUCAUCGUUCGUCUUCAGAUCAGCCAUAGAGGAUGAGGUAAUCGUUCUUAUUUUUUUUUUAUACAGCUCUGUUUUCCGCCGGAGAUUGUAAAUGAGAAAUUGGAAAAAAAAAUCAAAACUUUGGUUCUGAAUAUUCGACCUCGGUUCAAGAUCUGAUGCUUAAUAUGUUAAUCGAUUCUCAUGAAAAUUAGCUUAUUGGUUUUGCUGCUUGCGUGUGGUAUGUUCAAUAUGGUAGAGUUAGAUUAGGAAUCAAAAGGCAAAACAGAGAUGGAAUCUUUGAAUCGUAGAGACUUUUUUGUAUAGACAUUGGAAUCGCAAGAGAAUAAAAGAUGAUGCUUUGAAUUCAAAGUGUAUCUCUGUUUCGAAAUGGUAGAGUAUGAUGCUUUCAUGUGUGAUUACCUCGUACUACAUCGAGAAGUAUGGUUGUUUAAUCUUUUGCUUAAGAUUCAUAAGAAUGUAUUUAAAUGUUGGGAUGAUCUUUUUCUCUUUCUCUGUGAAAAAAAAAGAAAACUUGAAGACACCUCCUCCGUCGUCAUGAAUCUAUAAUGGUAACGACUAAGCUUGACGACUGCAUUAUCAAUAAUCUGAAGGUGAAAUCAAGUUAUCAACGAGAGGGAGGCGACAUUGUUGCUAAAUAAAGUAAGGGAAGGUGUAUGAAUCACUUGUUUCCUGUCUCUGAAGAAGCUUAUGUUUGUGUUUCCUGUCUUCGUUUAUGAUGAAUCUAAAUGCUUAUAUUUGUGUUUCAGGUCAGAGUGGAGCAUUGGGAGUGGAAGAAUCACGGACUAGUGUUUGAUCUCUCUGGUCUUCUCGAUGUGGGACUGAACCGUUUGAUGUAGUGUUGUGUCCUAUUGUGUUGUCAUGUGUAGUCUUCUGUUGUUGUGGUACUGAGUCUUGUGUAGUUGUAACAUGUCUUGUGUCGUUGAUGUUCUGAGUCUUGUGUAGUCUUGUGUCACGGACUAGUAACAAGAGUAGUAAAGAAUGUUUAAGUCAUCUUCUCUCCUUUGUUGUGUCAUGUCCCAAGCAUCAUUUAUACGAAACUGAGAUAGUUUGGUUACAUUGUUGUUUGGUUAUUGAUGUAAAAAGAAACUCCAAAAUAAGCAACUUGCAUUGGAGGUCAAAAUAUUAGAAGUUGCUUAAAAAAGUGCUUAACACCUAUUUAAUACUAAACAAUUGUUUAAGCACCCCAAUAGAGUUGUUAUGGAUAAUGCUGCUCUAACAAAAAUAACAUGGUUGUGAUCGGAAGAGAGAUGUAGCAGAGAGGGAACAGACAAGGGUAGGGGCAGAGGAGAUAGAAACCGGAACAAAACAGAGUUUUAAUAACAAAACAGAUUAGAUGUUUUAAUAUAAACACAAAAGAUUAUAAGUUUAAAUGGAAUUUAUACUAAAGAAAGACCUUAAGCAGAUAAGUUCGAUAGCUGGGAAGUGAGAGUAGAUACCUGAGCAGUGACGUCAAGUGGUGGGAGAGAUGGAGCAGAAACUGAGGAAAAGGCAAAAUUAAUUGCUAUUCUCAAAUUAAGUAAUGUUGGGGAUAGUUGGAUAUGAAUUAGAAACACACUUGGUCGUGAAGCAGAGGCAGUUCCGCUGCGAACAAAGUCAUUUCCGCCGAUAAGUUGAGAGGCACACUUGCUCGUGAU
RNAcentral lists this long non-coding RNA (2940 nucleotides) under Brassica rapa (field mustard). Its description in RNAcentral is "long non-coding RNA (BRAP_LNC006317)". Lineage: Eukaryota; Viridiplantae; Streptophyta; Magnoliopsida; Brassicales; Brassicaceae. The record is from RNAcentral.